UGAGGAAUAUUGGUCAAUGGGUGCAAGCCUGAACCAGCCAUCCCGCGUGAAGGACGACUGCCCUAUGGGUUGUAAACUUCUUUUGUAUAGGGAUAAACCUACCCUCGUGAGGGUAGCUGAAGGUACUAUACGAAUAAGCACCGGCUAACUCCGUGCCAGCAGCCGCGGUAAUACGGAGGGUGCAAACGUUAUCCGGAUUUAUUGGGUUUAAAGGGUCCGUAGGCGGACUUAUAAGUCAGUGGUGAAAGCCUGUCGCUUAACGAUAGAACUGCCAUUGAUACUGUAAGUCUUGAGUAUAUUUGAGGUAGCUGGAAUAAGUAGUGUAGCGGUGAAAUGCAUAGAUAUUACUUAGAACACCAAUUGCGAAGGCAGGUUACCAAGAUAUAACUGACGCUGAGGGACGAAAGCGUGGGGAGCGAACAGGAUUAGAUACCCUGGUAGUCCACGCCGUAAACGAUGCUAACUCGUUUUUGGGCUUUAGGGUUCAGAGACCAAGCGAAAGUGAUAAGUUAGCCACCUGGGGAGUACG
RNAcentral lists this ribosomal RNA (529 nucleotides) under uncultured bacterium. Its description in RNAcentral is "partial 16S ribosomal RNA". It matches the Rfam family "Bacterial small subunit ribosomal RNA", at positions 355 to 884 of the family's 1533-position model. The record is from RNAcentral.